CCAGACUCCUACGGGAGGCAGCAGUGAGGAAUAUUGGUCAAUGGCCGAGAGGCUGAACCAGCCAAGUCGCGUGAGGGAGGACGGCCCUACGGGUUGUAAACCUCUUUUGUCAGGGAGCAAGGGACAGGUCGUGACCUGUUGUGAGAGUACCUGAAGAAAAAGCAUCGGCUAACUCCGUGCCAGCAGCCGCGGUAAUACGGAGGAUGCGAGCGUUAUCCGGAUUUAUUGGGUUUAAAGGGUGCGUAGGCGGGACCUUAAGUCAGCGGUAAAAUUGCGGUGCUCAACGCCGUAGAGCCGUUGAAACUGGGGUUCUUGAGUGAGCGAGAAGUAUGCGGAAUGCGUGGUGUAGCGGUGAAAUGCAUAGAUAUCACGCAGAACCCCGAUUGCGAAGGCAGCAUACCGGCGCUCAACUGACGCUGAGGCACGAAAGUGCGGGUAUCGAACAGGAUUAGAUACCCCUGUA
This 463-nucleotide ribosomal RNA is filed under the name uncultured bacterium. RNAcentral describes it as "bacterial SSU rRNA". It matches the Rfam family "Bacterial small subunit ribosomal RNA", at positions 331 to 792 of the family's 1533-position model. The record is from RNAcentral.